This is a long non-coding RNA of Artibeus jamaicensis (Jamaican fruit-eating bat), 2303 nucleotides long. RefSeq lists it as uncharacterized. The transcript has 4 exons. The record is from RefSeq and is a predicted model, not a curated record. NCBI's taxonomy places the organism in Eukaryota, Metazoa, Chordata, Mammalia, Chiroptera, Phyllostomidae.
CUUCUACUGCCCAUGUGCUUUACCUCCCCUGCUCCCCCGACAAUAAUCUGGUGCCAGAUGGGUUUGGUGCCAGCCAGGGUCUCCCUGUGGACACGCUGCUUGUGAAGCUGAAAACCCUCCACUCUCAAAGGUGCUGUGUUUGUCUAUUUACUGCAAGACCUGAACAAGGGAGUGCUGAGAGGUGACCAGGAAGAUCACCUGGGUGCCAACCAUAUUUCUCCAGGUCCCUAUUUUGUAACACAUUCCUGCUUCCACCUAAAGGGUCAAAGGUCCUGCUUCUUGCCUGCUGGUCUAUGAAUGCAACGGCCCUGGAAUGCUCAGGGUGACAUCAUGACUCACACAAGUUCUAGCAAGUGCCGUGAGUCCUGAGCAAGCGUCAAGCGCUGAAACAUUUUUUUUUCUCUUCAAAAAAGUGAUGAGUACAAGGUCUGAUGAAGCCUGGCAGUACCGAAGUGUUGUUGGGUAGCAGCUGGGAGUGAGCAGCCAGAGGGGAAACAAAGGCAGGGCCCUCACCGUGACAAUCUAACCAAGACAGGAGACUGGAAGCAAAAGGAAAAUAUGUCUCGCCAAUUGACUCAGCUCGGUUUGAUAAAACUGUCAGGUGUCCAGAGCACUGCAAGCAAAACAGGUAGAAGAAGGGGAGAGGCUUUGAGCCUGUGCUGAGAAAAGAGGCUUCUGUAACCAUCCUACUAGGACUGAACAUCUUAGUGUGGUCUGAACAUCACAAGUGGGAUUACACAGGAGAAAUGGGGGCCUAUGCUGGGAAAGGGGCCUCUGAAACAAUUUCACUAAGACGAAGAAUCUUCACUGAGAAAGCCUUGUAUCUGUACAUUACUCUCAAGGGAAAAAAAGGAAGGGAAACUAGAAGGCAGCUGAGGUAUAUAAUCCCUGAACCCCAAUAGUCAGCACACUUAGAUUAGCUAAGUACGCACUUGUGGCCUCAGCUCAGUUUAUAGAACAAAUUAAUUUAUGAAACAAACUUGCUACAAACUUUCUUUCCUCUAUUUUGUGGGGCAUUUAGAUUAGUGGGGUGCCAGCUUGCAGCUGCAUGCUUGUACGUGUUUCGUAAACAAGCGUGCCAUCUCAUGUGUACUGUACAUGUUUGUGCCUCGCUUGAAUCACUCUCUCGCUGGUGAGAUGAGAACGCAGACCAGGAGAAAGGCCUCCUGACUUGCGUCUCCCGCUCGACUGCAAUGGUGUGACUGUAAUUCCACGAUCCAGUUUCUAACUAAAGUGGUUAGAAACUCCUGUGAAUUUUGGCUCAUUCAGAGAGGUCCAAUCGGGAAGUUGAAGUAUGUUUCCAGGGACUGUUCCAUGACUCAGAAAUGUUUUUGUGAUGACUUUCUUUGGGAACUGCCUUCAUAGACAUACAUAUUCUUUUACUUAUUGCCUAUGGCAUUUUUAAAAAUUGAGAAUGGAUUCAUUUAUGAAAACAGGUGAAGUUUUACAAUGCCAGUCUGGUGAAUAUGGUGACAUGGUAGGGAAUUAGGUUCAGUAAUGGCAGUUUUCAUGACUUCAGACCAAAGGCUGAACUAAAACUGCGAGGGAACACAGCUCACGUGAGCAUGUUGUGUUCACUCCUGAUCUGAAUGAGAACGAAUGUCGCCCACCAUAGCCACACAGAACAGACCAAAAACACACCACCAACUAUCUCACUCCCUGUAACAGCAGGCUGUACAAUUAUGAAAUCGGUCCUUGGGUGUUCUAAGUUUUUGUUCUUUACACCUAUCCCAUAAAAAUGUCAGUCUCUAUCCCUGUGUGGGUGGUUGCGGACAAAAAUGUGCUGUAUUAACACAUUAUUAGGGAUAUAGUUAGGCAAAUGUGGGUGGGGGCGAGUGGGAAAAGAGAGGGUUAUUGGAACAGGAGGGUUGUUGUCUCUUUGAGAAAUCCCAAAUCUGAUUUGAAGCUUUGCCGCUCCCCAUUCUCUUCUGGCUGAGAGGCCGAAUGGGCCUUCCUGUAACAAAGGCUUCUGGCUCUGCUGGGGAGAGAGGCCGGCCCGAUUAUUCGUAAAUAACAGGACUGAUUGUAUCUCACUUUCAUGAACUCAAAGGCUCCCUCCAGACUCUGCUUUGUUCACUCGGAGGGAUUCAUUGCUUCCCAUUACAAAACCUUUUUUGUUGGUGAUAACAUGAGUACCUGCAAGAAAUAAAGCCCCGUGACUAUCUCUGGGGCUUCAUUUCCGGGGACUGCUGCAUGCUUUCUGUGGAACACAAAAGGAAAAAAAAAUCGAGUGACUUUAUUCUUAACAAAGAAAAGUCUUUCAUAUUAUUCCCCCCUGAAGAUUUAGUCAUGCUGCUUUCUAA